CGAAGAUACAAAGGGCGCGAGGCGGAUGCCUUGGCGCGGGAAGUCGACGAAGGGCGCGGCAAGCUGCGAUAAGCCGCGGGGAGGCGCAAACGGCCUUUGAUCCGCGGAUUCCCGAAUGGGGGAACCCAGCAGGGGCAAUGCCCUGCUACCGGCCGCCGAACCCAUAGGCGGCCAGGAGGCAACCGGGGGAACUGAAACAUCUAAGUACCCCGAGGAAGAGAAAUCAACCGAGAUCCCGGGAGUAGCGGCGAGCGAAACCGGGCCAGCCCAAACCGGCGCGCGUGCAAGCGUGCGGGCGUUUCCGCGCCGGUGUUGUUGGGCGGGGCAACCGAGGGCCGCAUCCCUCGGCCGCUGUUACAAACCAGCCAUCUAGGGGAACGGCCUGGGAAGGCCGGCGGAACAGGGUGAGAGCCCCGUACCCGGAAGGUCGCUGGCAGCGGGUCUCCGGCCCAGAGUAGCGCGGGGCACGUGAAACCCCGCGCGAAGCAGGGGGGACCACCCUCCAAGGCUGAACACUCUCCCGCGACCGAUAGCGAACCAGUACCGUGAGGGAAAGGUGAAAAGCACCCCGAGAGGGGAGUGAAACAGCGCCUGAAACCGCGCGCCCACGAGCAGUCGGAGCACCUUCUACGGUGUGACGGCGUGCCUUUUGUAGAAUGAGCCAGCGAGUCACGAUGCGCGGCGAGGUUAAGCUUUUAAGCGAGCCGCAGCGAAAGCGAGUCUUUAAGACGGCGACAUGAGUCGCGCGUCGUGGACGCGAAGCCGGGUGAGCUACCCAUGGGCAGGCUGAAGCGGGGGUAAGACCCCGUGGAGGGCCGAACCCACUUCGGUUGAAAACGGAGGGGAUGACCCGUGGGUAGGGGUGAAAGGCCAAUCAAACCCGGAGAUAUCUCGUUCUCCCCGAAAUAGCUUUAGGGCUAGCCCCGGCCGUUUUCCCGCGGCGGUAGAGCACUGGACGGAGGAGGGGGCCUCACCGCCUACCGAUGCCGACCAAACUCCGAAUGCCGCGAGACCAAAGGCCGGGAGUCAGAGCAUGUGGGCUAAGCUGUGUGCUCGAGAGGGAAACAGCCCAGACCGCCCGCUAAGGCCCCCAAGUCAUCGCUGAGUGGCAAAGGAUGUGCGUCCGCCCAGACAACCAGGAUGUUGGCUUAGAAGCAGCCAUGCAUUCAAAGAGUGCGUAACAGCUCACUGGUCGAGUGGACAUGCGCCGACAAUUCACGGGGCUAAGCGAUGCGCCGAAGCGGCGGAAUGUAUUUACAUUGGUAGGGGAGCUUCCCCUGCGCGGCGAAGCCGGAGGGCGACCGACGGUGGAGCGCAGGGGAGUGAGGAUGCUGGCAUGAGUAACGAGAGCGGCGCGGGAAACGCCGCCGCCGUAAGCCCAAGGUUUCCUGGGCAAGGCUAAUCCUCCCAGGGUCAGUCGGGAGCUAAGGCGAGGCCGGAAGGCGUAGCCGAUGCGCAACAGGCGGACAUUCCUGUACCGCCUCGGGACCGCUAUGACCGAAGGGGCGACGGAGAAGGGUACGCAGGCGGGGUUCUGGACGCCCCCGUGAAAGCAUGUAGGCCGCAGGGCAGGCAAAUCCGCCCUGCGCACAAGGCCGAGACGCGAGACGAAGCCGCAUGGCGAAGCUGCGGAGCCCACGCUCCCUGGAAAAACCCCUAGGCAGGGCCCGAGGCGCCCGUACCAAAACCGACACAGGUGGGCGGGUAGAGCAUACCGAGGCGAUCGGGGGAACCAUGGUCAAGGAACUCGGCAUAAUCGCUCCGUAACUUCGGGAGAAGGAGUGCCGCUGCAGGUGGAGGGACCAGCUCCCCGAGCCCGCGGCGGCCGCAGCGAAACGGCCCAAGCGACUGUUUACCAAAAACACAGGACUCUGCCAACCCGCGAGGGGAAGUAUAGGGUCUGACGCCUGCCCGGUGCCGGAAGGUUACGCGGAUGCGUUAGCGUCAAGCGAAGCGCUGAAGCCAAGCCCCGGUAAACGGCGGCCGUAACUAUAACGGUCCUAAGGUAGCGAAAUUCCUUGUCGGGUAAGUUCCG
Molecule: ribosomal RNA, 2035 nt
Filed under: human gut metagenome
Description: bacterial LSU rRNA
Rfam family: Bacterial large subunit ribosomal RNA
Source: RNAcentral